GAUGAACGCUGGCGGCGUGCCUAAUACAUGCAAGUCGAGCGAACAGAUGAGGAGCUUGCUCCUCUGACGUUAGCGGCGGACGGGUGAGUAACACGUGGAUAACCUACCUAUAAGACUGGGAUCACUUCGGGAAACCGGAGCUAAUACCGGAUAAUAUCUUGAACCGCAUGGUUCAAUAGUGAAAGACGGUUUUGCUGUCACUUAUAGAUGGAUCCGCGCCGCUUUAGCUAGUUGGUACGGUAACGGCUUAUCACGGCGACGAUGCGUAGCCGACCUGAGAGGGUGAUCGGCCGCACUGGAGCUGAGACACGGUCCAGGCUCCUACGGGAGGCAGCAGUAGGGAAUCUUCCGCAAUGGGCGAAAGCUUGACGGAGCAACGCCGCGUGAGUGAUGAAGGUCUUCGGAUCGUAAAACUCUGUUAUGAGGGAAGAACAGAUGUGUAAGUAACUAUGCACGUCUUGACGGUACCUAAUCAGAAAGCCACGGCUAACUACGUG
RNAcentral lists this ribosomal RNA (497 nucleotides) under uncultured bacterium. Its description in RNAcentral is "partial 16S ribosomal RNA". It matches the Rfam family "Bacterial small subunit ribosomal RNA", at positions 28 to 507 of the family's 1533-position model. The record is from RNAcentral.